GCCCUAACUACAGAUCUAGGAUCAGAUUACCCAACCCUAUUAUUCUAACCUUAGUUCUUAAGAGGGAGUGACUGGGAACUGACCUUGGAUCAGUGCCUAUGGGCUACUUCAUUCCAUUCUUACAUAUAGAUGUUUACAUAGCUGCUGGUGGGAAGGCACUGUUGUGCUAGUGGUCUAUGAGUGGUGGGACGCCCUCUGCUGGACUGAGGCGGUAUUGAUAAUGCUGUACUGUAUAACCCAGUAUCACGCUAUACUGAUAAGGGGAGUGAGCUGAGGUCUCACAGAUCCCUACAGUGGAGGAAGGCUGAUAAACUAACUGAUUUUAAUAAAGAAGCAAUGACAAUACUCCCCCCUCAGCAUGACAGCACUUGUAUUGGUCAGAGCCAUAUUUAAAUGUAAGCUAAACAUGGCUUUGGUAUUGGACCAAUCCCAUGGGAUAUGUAUUUUAUGACAUUCUUCUAUGCUGUGGUCCAUGGCUCCUUUUCUGACAGUCACAGUUGCUGCUACACAGCUGUACGGUGCAACCUGGAGAUGCUACGUACGAAAAGGGCAAUGAAAGCUGGAUUUCAGGAUUUCUAGCCAACUAUCGACCCACACCUGCCAUGAAUAACUAGGAAGCAUCGAGUAGCAGUGACUUUGGAAAUGGUGACUCAAGACUAUGUACUUGAAUGAAUAUGUGUGUGUGUGUGUGUGUGUGUGUGUGCUUGCAAGGUGGUUGUUCUUUUCCCUCUGUUUCCUGUCUCACUGCUCGUCUUUGAGCUUCAGAUUAUACCAUUUCCUCUCACACCUGUGACUGUGUCACGUCCUGAUCCUUCCACCCCUGCCCGUAUUUAUCUAUUCUUUUUAUUUCUCUCUCCCGCUCUCUCUCCCUCAAUGUAGGUAAGUGACUGCUUACGCUACUCCUUUCCUAUUCAACUUUGGAAAAUGAUUUGUUAUGCAUUUUAUUGUCAUGUAGUCCUCACACAUUGUGUGCAUCAGGGUAAUUGCAUCAAUGUGUUAUCCCCUACCUCAAGGGGAUUUUGUUUUGGAAAAAUAUUUAGGCUGUGUCCUCAGUCUUUCUCAGCCUGGGGUCUAGCUUACCUGUGUCAACAUGGUGACGGCGCCAGGUGUACUGACGACCCUUGUGUUAACAGGAUUGUGUGUCCACGUCACAGGAUCAUCUAGAGCCGUCUGUACCACCCGUCUGUAUUCCCUGAACUUAAACUGUGUCCUGCAGUGGGAUUGUCCACAGGCGAACGCUACCACCACCUACACCGUCCAAACUAAGACUCAGGGUGAUUCGUGGCAGGACGUGGAGAGUUGUGUGCGGUUCUCCUCCCAGCUGUGUGACCUGUCCGAGGCCUUCUCUAACUUCGAGGUGUACAACAUGAUCCGCCUGGGCCUCCACCAGGGCCCGGGGAGUCCAGCCUGGACAGAAAAUCUGGGGUUUGGCGUCCGUGAUUUCAACUUCAGCAGCCCCUCUGUCUUGGUCUCUCUGUCUGGAGAGAUGCUGGGAGUGGAGGUGCACUUACCUUGUUCUAGCAAAAGGGAGUGUCUUCCUCUGCAGAGUUGCUGUCCACUGUCAAAAUUUAUUGACCUCUGGGUCACCGUGACAGUAUAUGACCGGCAGAACCCCUCCGACUACAAGACGCAGAUUGGUUUGGUCCAGACGAUGGUGUAUGGGGCAGAGUUCUCAAACCUGGUCCCAGGACAUGACUACUGUGUCGUGGCUAACUUCUCCAUCAGUCCGGCCACCUUCCCCCAGGCCUCGUCUCCUCCCUCGGACCCCAGUUGUGUCCACCAUGCUGGCCCAGGACUAGGGUUGCAGCCAGUGUUGUUGGGGAUAGGAGUGUGUGCUGUACUCUUCUCUCCUCUCCUUGCUCUGGCUCUGUACCUGCUGAAACAAAAACGAGAUGUACCACACGUAAACAGACUCCCCAAGUCUCUAGCAUCUCUUCAGGCAUUCCUCCAGGACCUACCGGAGUCCCCUUCAGACCCUGUUGACCCCAGUGACAUUGUAGACGACCACCUCUCCAUCCUGUCCUCUUUCUCCAGCUGUGUCUACACCGAGGCCCAGGCCCCAAGCCUGGGUAAUGGGUACAACAGCAACCCCUUCCUCCGUGACUAUAGGUCAGGCAACAUGCACUGGAACACUGAGAGAAUGGAGCUGGACCUGAACUCAGGCAGCACCAUAUCCCUGCCAUGCUCCACUGUGCCUAUAGGCCUGCAUAUGAUCCAGUGCAGCUUUGAUUCACCUCGACAACCACAUCCAGGGCCCAAUGUGCCAGUUCUACCGUACCCUGGUUCUCUAUCUCUGUCAGAGGCCGUGGAGGGCCAGGUGGUCCCGUUGUGUUCUGUGAGGUUUGGGAGGGUGAGUGAUGGGUGUGAGAACCUUGAGGGACUACAGUGGUGUAACCUGUAGCAUGUUGCACUGCAGUACUCACAAUGCCAUGUUUAACAUAUUCCUAUGAACUCCACAGUGCUGAGAGGAGUUCAAAAACUUUAUUGACCAUUUUUGUUGAAAAUUGUAAUUUUUUUCCCUCAGCUUACAGACAUACAUUUUCAGUUCCAACAGGACUGUGGUAUGGUCCAGCACCUUACCAAGGUCAACCAUAACAGGGACAAUACUGGACAGUGCAAUCAUAAACACAUACACUCUUAGAAAAAAGGGUUUCAAAAGGGUUCUUCGGCUGUCCCCAUAGGAGAACCCUUUUCGGAACCAAAACUAUUCUUCCUGGAACCAAAAAGGGUUCUUCAAUGGGUUAUCCUAUGGGGACAGCCGACAAGGUUCUAGAUGGCACCUUUUUUUUUCUAAGGGGGGUUUAUUAUUCUGACUCCCCUUUAAAUUUACUUUGUCUACUGUGCCAAGUGUCUUUUCAGCUCUUUUUCUGUGUCAUAAUAGGUUGUUCUUCCCCCUCUCUCUGCCUUGCUUCUGACUCACUGUUGCCCCAUCCCAUCUCCGGCCUGACCCCCACUGUCUCUUACCCGUGUCUGACAUCUCAUUCUGGGGGAGGAGGGCAGAGGGUAGGGGAACAUCUCUCUCCUGCCUCUUGUUUCACUGGUGGUGCACUUUCCCCGGAACAUUAGAACAUUCGGGGGUAGAGACAGAGGAGACGUUGGAUGGGAAACAGUGAUUGGCCCUAUUGUUCUGGAAACCACAUAGCCUGUGUAUGGCUCAUAAUAAUAUCACUGUCUGGAGGAUUUUGAUUCAUGUAUUCAUGUUGUUGGUCUAAUAUUGGGGUUGGAUCAUGAGUCCAAACUAAGCAGUGUGUUUGCUUGCCAAUCAUAAAUGCUAAUUCUCAGGCAUCCAACAGGUAUCGCAUCUAACCUUGCACUUGGGUUUUUGGAGCAACUUUUAUGGGUUCUGCUGUAUUUGCAGUCAAUUCACCGGAAACCUGAUCCAAAAUGGUCGCUUUGUGGCUCACUCUUCACUGGUGUGUGCUGGCUAGCUCUGCAGCUGAGGUGGUGAAGUUGGAUUGGGGAUUUACGUGGUGUUUGACAGGCAGUAAAAAAUGUUGGGGGGGGCUUGCCUGUUAUGCAUGUUAUUUUGGCAUUAAAUGUCACAUCAGUUUGCAAACAAUGCAAUAAAAAUAAAUCAAUGAGUUAAUAAAGCCGC
This is a long non-coding RNA of Oncorhynchus tshawytscha (Chinook salmon), 3595 nucleotides long. The record is from Ensembl. Lineage: Eukaryota; Metazoa; Chordata; Actinopteri; Salmoniformes; Salmonidae.